This 347-nucleotide ribosomal RNA is filed under the name uncultured bacterium. RNAcentral describes it as "partial 16S ribosomal RNA". It matches the Rfam family "Bacterial small subunit ribosomal RNA", at positions 338 to 683 of the family's 1533-position model. The record is from RNAcentral.
CCUACGGGGGGCUGCAGUGAGGAAUAGUGGUCAAUGGCCGGAAGGCUGAACCAGCCAAGUCGCGUGAGGGACGACUGCCCUAUGGGUUGUAAACCUCUUUUAUAAGGGAAGAAAAAAUGCUACGUGUAGCAUGAUGCCUGUACCUUAUGAAUAAGCAUCGGCUAACUCCGUGCCAGCAGCCGCGGUAAUACGGGGGAUGCGAGCGUUAUCCGGAGUUAUUGGGUUUCACGGGUGCGUAGGCGGUUUUUUCAGUUAGUGGUUAAACGUCGGGGCUUCCCCUUGAUUUGCCAUUUAUACUGUUAGACUCGAGUUCAUACGAGGUAGGCGGAAUCUGUUCCGUCGCGGUG